GUACUAGGAAAUCACUUUAUACAUCUGUUUAUAGAUGGAUGCAGAGGCUGAAGAUAAAACGCUGCGUACUCGCUCUAAAGGAACCGAGGUGCCAAUGGAUUCGCUAAUCCAGGAGCUCAGAUUGCGCCUCUGAGAAUAGAGCGAAGUAGACUCCUAGACUCCACAAAGUGCUCAAGGUAAUUCUCCCAAGCCCCUAAGGACCAUCUUCCUGGUCUUUGGAAGCUGACCCAGAGCCUACAGUCUGUCCUGGAGGAUCAGCGAGCUCUGCGUUCUUGAAGGAAGAGCUGAAAGGCUCACAUAACCCUGGCCAUUGUCAAAGAAACUUGGCUUCCCAACACUGCAACCUCCCUGGUUUCGUCUACCUCUCAGACUGCAUCUUCUCAGGUCUCCUUAUUGGUUUCUCAACACCCCAGUCUCUGACACUGGAUUCCCCAAGUGUUGCCUAUGAUUGCUCCAUGGCAAAGAAAAGAAGACCUGAAGAUCAGGCUUUGGGGGUUCCAGUCAACAAAAGGAAAUCCCUGCUAAUGAAGCCCCGACACUACAGCCCAAACGCAGACUGCCAAGAAGACCGCAGUGACAGGACAGAGGACGAUGGCCCCUUGGAAACACAUGAUCACUCUACCGCAGAGGAAAUCAUGAUAAAACCUAUGGAUGAAAGUCUUCUUUCAACUGCACAAGAAAACUCCAGUAGGAAGGAA
Molecule: small RNA, 698 nt
Filed under: Pongo abelii (Sumatran orangutan)
Lineage: Eukaryota; Metazoa; Chordata; Mammalia; Primates; Hominidae
Description: processed transcript
Source: RNAcentral